Molecule: non-coding RNA, 637 nt
Organism: Zootermopsis nevadensis
Lineage: Eukaryota; Metazoa; Arthropoda; Insecta; Blattodea; Termopsidae
Source: RefSeq, a predicted model, not a curated record
GUGGUGUUUGGGUUAACGUAAUAUGUUUCCGUGAAAUUUUAGCCCCAAAAAUUAGUUACUUUAGGGGUUGUGUUUUGGUCCUGCAGUUAAUUUAGUGUUUUGUGUUUAUGAACUAUUAUAAAACAUUUCUAGUGAAGAACUGCUGCCAUAAUAUGAAAUGUUCCGAUGAAAUUGGCGUAUGAAAAAUAAACGUGCAGUUCUCACGAUUGGCGUGUGCAUAGACUGCAGUCUCCAGGUCAUCGGGGGACGCUGUCGGCGCAGUGGGUUAUACCUACGACGAAGUCGGAAAGAAGGAGAAUGAAUAUAUUUAAAACAUUCGUGGAACUUAUGAAGGAAGAUAUAACUGAAAUAAUAUUGAAGUUCUGCAGAGUCAUGGCGGUGGCAGAAUAUCACACGACAACGAACUAUGGGGAGUGGCAAACGAAAGGCAAGCAACGCGUAGACCUGUGAAGAAUUGCAGUAAAUAAAAUAAGAAAUGAAGGUACGGACUGAAUUCUCAAAUAUUAUACAUACGACCCCUGGCUUCAAACGGUUACAUGAAAUGAAAGGAAGACAGUGCAAGGGAAAGUUCUUCUCGACACGGUUCUUAUAUUUUGAACAACUGAUUUUGAAUUAGAAACAGACUUUUAUUAUAUAC